GCCUGGGUGGCUCAGUCGGUUAAGCGUCCGACUUCAGCUCAGGUCACGAUCUCGCGGUCCGUGGGUUCGAGCCCCGCCUCGGGCU
This 85-nucleotide transfer RNA is filed under the name Felis catus (domestic cat). It matches the Rfam family "tRNA". From Rfam's summary of the family: Transfer RNA (tRNA) molecules are approximately 80 nucleotides in length. Their secondary structure includes four short double-helical elements and three loops (D, anti-codon, and T loops). Further hydrogen bonds mediate the characteristic L-shaped molecular structure. tRNAs have two regions of fundamental functional importance: the anti-codon, which is responsible for specific mRNA codon recognition, and the 3' end, to which the tRNAs corresponding amino acid is attached (by aminoacyl-tRNA synthetases). tRNAs cope with the degeneracy of the genetic code in two manners: having more than one tRNA (with a specific anti-codon) for a particular amino acid; and 'wobble' base-pairing, i.e. permitting non-standard base-pairing at the 3rd anti-codon position. The record is from Rfam by way of RNAcentral. Lineage: Eukaryota; Metazoa; Chordata; Mammalia; Carnivora; Felidae.